CCUGCCCCGGGGCUGCCAGCGAAAGUUGAGGAGGGUGGGGCUGUAGCUCAGGCUCUGGGCGGGCGACUUUCCCUUAGGUGCACGCGCUGACCCAGGCCAGCGGUCUUUUCAGCAGAGUGUGAGGCCGCUGCACCUCGGUGGAGACUAGAAGGUGACCCAUGUAAUGCGGGGCACCCUUGCAUGGCCCUCUGCAAAGACAGAACCCAGGCACGCCUAUCCGGCUGGGCUACUCACUCACGCCCCUAUGGCUCCAUCAAUCUGGUUAGUGGGCUCAGGUGUUUCAGAAUCUCCUUCCAAUCCUCUGUCCUUGCCAGGAUGCGCAGGACACCCCGCCUCCCGAAGAGGGAGAGAGAGAAAAAUCCUUCACUUACGGUCACGGGCAGCCCCGUAGAUUCCCUGGUGAAAGGGACUGGAGGGAUCGGAUCGACAGUGUAGUGUCCUGAGUGACUGCAAUUGAAAUUACUUUGCUCUGGACUCAUCUAUCAGGAGCUGUGGGUUCUUAGUAAAGGGAACCCCACAAAGACAAGCCUUCUCUGAGACUGGUGUUAUGGAAGGGAGCUGGGAGAAAGGGGAGUGACCAGUCCACAAGAACCUCCUGACUCGAUCUUUUGUAGGCUCGGCAUCGUAGUGUCAGCCCCUGCAUCUCCCUCAGUUUACCUGGCCUGGGGCAGGAUGAGAGGACCACCACCCCCCAUCUUGAUGCCUAUCCCUAGAGGUCAAGAGAGAAGCCAGAUGGAGCCAGGCUGAACAACAGCUGGUCCGCUACAGCAGCAUCCCUGAUGGACCCCAGUGUUAAUUCCGGCAUGUCUGAUCUGCCAGUCCGAGAACCCCAUUCAGAUUCUGAGCACUCCUGGCUCCACCAUCACCAAGGUUCUUCCCCCUUAGGCUCCUCAACAGCCUGCUUCUACCUUCCCCUUCAGUCUGCUCUUCACAGCCGGCAAAGACCUAGCCAAGCCUAGACACAGCCCUGUCACUCUACCACCCCAAAGCAAGCCAUUUGUGGAACUCAGCUCAUAGCAGGUAACUUAGGCCUUGGAUUCUUUGAAAGAACACUAUUUGGCAUGCAUAAGGCUCCAGGCUUCCUCCCUAGCCCUUAAAGCAGCAGUUCUCUACCUGUGGGUCAUAACCCCUUGGGUAGUCAAAAGACCCUUUCACAAGAGUCUCCU
Molecule: long non-coding RNA, 1166 nt
Filed under: Cricetulus griseus (Chinese hamster)
Lineage: Eukaryota; Metazoa; Chordata; Mammalia; Rodentia; Cricetidae
Description: lncRNA (ENSCGRG00015039645.1)
Source: RNAcentral